This 340-nucleotide unclassified non-coding RNA is filed under the name Hevea brasiliensis (rubber tree). Lineage: Eukaryota; Viridiplantae; Streptophyta; Magnoliopsida; Malpighiales; Euphorbiaceae. The record is from RNAcentral.
CGGCCGAUCGCAAUUCUCGUUGUUUAUUUCAUUGUACUAUGGGUGGAAGUCAUAACAUAGGGGAUGACUGGGAGUUGGCUUCCGGAUCUACAGCCAUAAGCACUUUGGUUUUGGUUGGAAAGAGUGGCACUGGUAAGAGUGCUACUGGAAACUCUAUUCUCGGUAGAAAGGCAUUCAAAUCAUAUAACCACCGAGAUGGUGUGACAACUAUUUGCGAAAUGCGAAGCACUAUUUUAAAUGAUGGCCGCAUUGUGAACGUCAUCGAUACCCCUGGACUAUUUGAUCUCCGACACGGGUCAGAAUUUGUUGGUAAAGAAAUUGUCAGGUGUAUGGAUUUGGC